This is a long non-coding RNA of Macadamia integrifolia, 2339 nucleotides long. RefSeq lists it as uncharacterized. The record is from RefSeq and is a predicted model, not a curated record. NCBI's taxonomy places the organism in Eukaryota, Viridiplantae, Streptophyta, Magnoliopsida, Proteales, Proteaceae. The transcript is spliced from 2 exons.
CACACCUCUCUCUGCUAGAUGAAGGAGAAGCUCUGCUAGGUGCUUCAUCAAAGCUCGGUGAAGGUCGCUCUCAGUAAGUAGAAGCUCCUACCCUAACUCGCUCUCGGUCGCUCUCACAAAGGGGUCUACCUCUCUCUCUCUCUCUCUCUCUCUCUCUCUCUCUCGCGAGCGCGAGCGCGAGCGCGCGCGAAGGAGAAGCGACUCUCUCUCUCUCUGCUCACGAAGCUGUAGCUGAUACUCUCGAUUUUAUCUGUGUUACCCAUUCUCGCGCCGAAGUUCUGAGAUAGCGCGUUGUCACCUGGUUAGGGUUUGAAUCGAAGCCAUUCUCUAUUAGAGUUUGAGUCAAAUCGUUGGCAGCAAUCUUUACCUCUGGACUAACAUCCUAAACAGCCCUCUCAAUAGUGGCAUAUAUGUCUCUUCUUAAAGGAGGGUGUAGGAUUUGAUGGCUACACCUUGACAAGCAUCACAAAAGGCCUGUUCAGAACCAGGAGACUUGUAUCUGGGCUUGCAGCUUCAUGGUUGCAUGAUGGACACAGGGUUUGUUUCUGAAACACCAGUCAUCAAUGCACUAAUAACCAUGUACUAGUGUGAACAAUGAAUGGUGUCUGCCACCCAGAUUUUUGGGACAGCUCUUGCACCCAACAUUAUCUCUUGGACCUCCAUACUAGCCGGCUUCCUGCAAAAUGGGCAGAAUGAAGAAGCAGUUGGGUUUUAUAAAAGAAUGCUGAAAGUAGGAAUGAAUGCUCUUUUAGAUAUGUAUCAGUGCAGAAUGCUCUUUUAUAUCAAAACACAAGAAGAAAUCAACCAUGUCAUGUAUUUUGCAUCAUUUGCAAGCAAAUUUUGAACAUUAUGAACAUUGAUGUGAGGGUUUUUAGGUAAGAUUUUGAUAUAUUUUUUAGUUUACAAAUGCAACUCAGUUCUUUGUUAGCUUUGACUUGAUUGUUGGUUCCCUACCCUACACCCAAACUGUUUGUGUUUUUGUUUCAAACAGCCGGAUUUGCCAUGUCCAGCACCCCAAACAUAGAUUUGUUUCCUAGGAACUCAGAACACUGUUUGGGAUGCCUCAAAUUUCUCAACAGCCACCAUUAACACAUUCAGGCAACAAACAAGAGAAAGGAUUGGAAGAGCAUGAUAAAGAGUUUGAGGAUCAUUCCCUCUCACGUGCUGAUAUCGCUCUCUCUUGGUUGCCUCGAAUCAGAGAGAGAUUUCGAACAUCAACGAAGCCCCCUUCUGGUUCUCACGCACAUACUGGUUCGAUCACCCUGAGGUAUGAAACCUAAAACUUACUUUCCUCUUCUCUUCUCUCUUCACUAACCCUAAGUCUUUUCUUCUCCACUCUCUAAUCAGAAGCUUCUUACAUGCUCUCCCUCUUCAUCGGUUGAAACCAUUUUCAUUAGUCUCUAAUUUCAUCAGGUAUCCUGAAAGUAUUCAUUAUGCUGAACAGAUGUGGUACUUCAAAUAGUGAGCAAAAUUCUGGAGACUCUUGUGAUGGAGUCCCUCUUAAGACUACUGGUUAAAGAGCACAGAAUGAAAUUACUUGAGAUUCCACCCACACAGCCUAUCUUUUGGAGUCUUGAAUUGAAUUUUAUGAAAAUAUAAGGCAUUUUAUUUGGAUAGUGUCAACUUCCAUCAGUUCAAGGAUUAGUAGUUAACAAUUUGAGAUGUUUAAUAUGAAAUGCUGGAUUGGAGUUCUAUUACACAAGGGAAUUCUUGUGCUAAAAAUUCUAUCUAUGUGCUAGUAAAUGCAUUUAGGAUUCUAUUUUUUAAUUGAUUUUUAGCCUCUAAUGUACUAACAAUUUUUUUUUUGUAAGUUAGGAGUCUUUAGCUCAAAAUGGUAGAGCACCUGGGAUAAUGCCCAAGUUAUGGUGAUUCGAAUCCACCAAGACUCAGAACAAAAUACCAAAAGUUUUACUUAUUAUAUCUUGUGUUUUUUUUUUUUUUUUUUUAAAUGAUUGGUGGUGUUGUUCUGUUCUUGUAAUAAUCACAACUUAGCUGAUCUUCAUGUGACUUGACUCAGUGAUUAUGACUGAAAUGUAGAUGAUAUUCAUAAAAUUCUCUGUAAGUCUUGAAUGGGCUAGUAUUUUAUGUAGCCAUUAGGAGUUUAGGACCCUAAAACAUUUGCAGGUGUUGUCUUAGAUUUGGUUUUUUGUUCCCACCAUCUCAUUAGAACAGUAUUGUAGUAGUUUGAAGUAGUAUCAGUUUCCAGGACCCAACCUUCUCGAAAGCUGCAGACACAGAAAAUGAUUGAUCUCCAUUAUCAUCUGGAAAAGGUUGGCUUGCUGCGAUGAAUGCAUGCAUAGAAGUUGAAGUAAUUAAUCCUUGAAUGGAUGCUUGCAUCA